CCUACGGGAGGCAGCAGUCGAGAAUCAUUCACAAUGGAGGAAACCCUGAUGGUGCGACGCCGCGUGGGGGAAUGCAGGUCUUUGGAUUGUAAACCCCUGUCAUGUGGGAGCAAACUAAAAAGAUAGUACCACAAGAGGAAGAGACGGCUAACUAGGUGCCAGCAGCCGCGGUAAUACAGAGGUGUCAAGCGUUGUUCGGAACCACUGGGCGUAAAGCGUGCGUUGGCUGUGUCGUAAGUCAGGUGUGAAAGGCGGGGGCUCAACCCGCGGACGGCACAUGAUACUGGGAGACUAGAGUAAUGGAGGGGUAGGCGGAAUGCGCGGUGUAGCAGUGAAAUGCGUAGAUAUCGCGAGGAACACUCGUGGCGAAGGCGGGUUCCUGGACAGUAACUGACGCUGAGGCACGAAGGCCAGGGGAGCGAAAGGGAUUAGAUACCCCUGUAGUC
This 446-nucleotide ribosomal RNA is filed under the name uncultured bacterium. Its description in RNAcentral is "partial 16S ribosomal RNA". It matches the Rfam family "Bacterial small subunit ribosomal RNA", at positions 338 to 795 of the family's 1533-position model. The record is from RNAcentral.